RNAcentral lists this transfer RNA (91 nucleotides) under Candidatus Geothermarchaeota archaeon. RNAcentral's name for it is "tRNA-Glu". It matches the Rfam family "tRNA". From Rfam's summary of the family: Transfer RNA (tRNA) molecules are approximately 80 nucleotides in length. Their secondary structure includes four short double-helical elements and three loops (D, anti-codon, and T loops). Further hydrogen bonds mediate the characteristic L-shaped molecular structure. tRNAs have two regions of fundamental functional importance: the anti-codon, which is responsible for specific mRNA codon recognition, and the 3' end, to which the tRNAs corresponding amino acid is attached (by aminoacyl-tRNA synthetases). tRNAs cope with the degeneracy of the genetic code in two manners: having more than one tRNA (with a specific anti-codon) for a particular amino acid; and 'wobble' base-pairing, i.e. permitting non-standard base-pairing at the 3rd anti-codon position. Lineage: Archaea; Thermoproteati; Candidatus Geothermarchaeota. The record is from RNAcentral.
GCUCCCGUCGUCUAGCCCGGUCAACAUAUGGCUGAAAGGAUAGGGGCCUCUCGAGCCUCAGACCCGGGUUCAAAUCCCGGCGGGAGCACCA